UACGUAGGGGGCUAGCGUUAUCCGGAAUUACUGGGCGUAAAGGGUGCGUAGGUGGUUUCUUAAGUCAGAGGUGAAAGGCUACGGCUCAACCGUAGUAAGCCUUUGAAACUGGGAAACUUGAGUGCAGGAGAGGAGAGUGGAAUUCCUAGUGUAGCGGUGAAAUGCGUAGAUAUUAGGAGGAACACCAGUUGCGAAGGCGGCUCUCUGGACUGUAACUGACGCUGAGGCGCGAAAGCGUGGGGAGCAAACAGGAUUAGAUACCCUGGUAGUCCCUGAG
This 277-nucleotide ribosomal RNA is filed under the name uncultured prokaryote. RNAcentral describes it as "partial 16S ribosomal RNA". It matches the Rfam family "Bacterial small subunit ribosomal RNA", at positions 524 to 801 of the family's 1533-position model. The record is from RNAcentral.